UACGGAGGGUGCGAGCGUUGUCCGGAAUCACUGGGCGUAAAGGGCGCGUAGGCGGCCUGAUAAGUAGGGGGUGAAAUCCUGCGGCUUAACCGCAGGGCUGCCUUCUAAACUGUCAGGCUUGAGCACAGUAGAGGCAGGUAGAAUUCCGGGUGUAGCGGUGGAAUGCGUAGAGAUCCGGAAGAAUACCGGUGGCGAAGGCGGCCUGCUGGGCAGUGGCUGACGCUGAGGCGCGAAAGCCAGGGGAGCAAACGGG
Molecule: ribosomal RNA, 253 nt
Filed under: uncultured bacterium
Lineage: Bacteria
Description: partial 16S ribosomal RNA
Rfam family: Bacterial small subunit ribosomal RNA
Source: RNAcentral